This 87-nucleotide non-coding RNA is filed under the name Planococcus rifietoensis. RNAcentral describes it as "c-di-GMP sequence". It matches the Rfam family "c-di-GMP-I riboswitch aptamer". Rfam says of the family: GEMM was predicted in a large-scale screen for bacterial structured RNA regulatory elements. Genes associated with GEMM are involved in a diverse array of functions, including chemotaxis regulation, signal transduction, secretion and chitin. The record is from Rfam by way of RNAcentral. Lineage: Bacteria; Bacillati; Bacillota; Bacilli; Caryophanales; Caryophanaceae.
UGACGAAAAUAGCAAACUUAUACGAAAGUUAAGGACGCAAAGCCACGGGUCUAACUGUCUAAGACACAGGAUCGCCGGGUUACCGAA